Molecule: ribosomal RNA, 401 nt
Filed under: uncultured bacterium
Lineage: Bacteria
Description: bacterial SSU rRNA
Rfam family: Bacterial small subunit ribosomal RNA
Source: RNAcentral
GAAUAUUGCACAAUGGGGGCAACCCUGAUGCAGCGACGCCGCGUGGGUGAAGAAGGGUUUCGGCUCGUAAAGCCCUUUUCUGUGUGACGAAACAGGACGGUAGCACAGGAAGAAGUCUCGGCUAACUACGUGCCAGCAGCCGCGGUAAAACGUAGGAGGCAAGCGUUAUCCGGAGUUACUGGGCGUAAAGAGCGUGUAGGCGGUUGAGUAAGUUGCGUGUGAAAGCGCCCGGCUAAACUGGGCGAGGACAGGCAAGACUGCUGAGCUAGAGGCCGAUAGAGGGGUGCGGAAUUCCGGGUGUAGCGGUGAAAUGUGUAGAGAUCCGGAGGAACACCAGUGGUGCAGACGGCGCCCUGGAUCGGACCUGACGCUGAGACGCGAAAGCGUGGGGAGCGAACGGG